Long non-coding RNA from Macaca mulatta (Rhesus monkey), 1584 nucleotides. The record is from Ensembl. NCBI's taxonomy places the organism in Eukaryota, Metazoa, Chordata, Mammalia, Primates, Cercopithecidae.
GAACACAAAAUGGCGACACGUGGCUAGCAUUCGUCGCCAACGAGAAAUUGGGGUCGGCCCGAAAGCUCUGGAAUAAAACCCCACAGGCUGGUCUGAAGCUCGGAAGCCUAAUUUUAACGCGUUUCCCUCCCUUUAAUUUGAAACGGGAACGCGAAUAACUGUAAAAUAGGAAGACACUUAAACAUAAAGAUGAAGUGCCUAAUUCAAGGUCACACAAUGUCGGGGAUGGACCUCCAGAUUUCCUUACUGACCUGCAUUAUCUGUGGAUAUCUGAGUGAAUUACACACCACCCAUUUUAUAGAUGAAGCCACUGAGACAUGGAGCAACUGACUGAGUAGUCACUGCACCACCCCUGGAGCCUCACACAUGACUCGUCUCCUCUCUCUCAGUGACCACAGUUACUUAUCCUGUAUUACAUGAGGGAAAUGAAACAAAAAGACUACAGCCCCACUCCCAGCUACUCCGUGAGGUGGUAGCUAGGUGACAACCCAGAGGCUCUAAGAAAGGGGUCCCCAACCCUAGUCUGUGGCUCAUUAGGAACAGGUUGCACAGCAGGAGAGACAGAGUCUUCUUGCUAUGUUGCCCGGGCUGGUCUUGAACUCCUCGCCUCAAGCAAUCCUCCCGUCUUGGCCUCCCAAGUGUCAGGAUUACAGGUAAGACAUGGUCUUGUACCACAGUGGUUAAGAAUGUGACUUUGGAGCCAGCCUGCUAGGGGAUGAAUUCUGACUCAGCCAUUUACUAACUGGGUGACCUUAGAUCCGGCGAGCCAACUGGAUGUCUUUGGGCAUGAUGGUGACUCCCUUAGCGUGGAUGACACACAGAUUAGUAUCUUUGAACAGACCCACCAGGUCACACAGUUUUCCACACUCCUUGAUGGAGGUGCUUAAACCCUAUCCAUCAGCAUUCUUGGACAGCAUCUCUGGUUAGGGACAGUAUCUGACCGUCUGACAUCCCUGCACCCCCCAUACUGUCAGCCUCAGGUGGAUGGUUUCCUUAGAUGGUGGCUUUCUUUGGACCCUUGAUAUCAACCAGUUACUAUUUGUUUGAGGAUCUGGUGCCAUAAGCCUACUGAUGCGGAACGCUGGAAGCAGAAUGCGGUUAGGGACGGUGCUCGGAGGAGCUGUGCCACCAACCCCACACAUACGCCAACCCUGGGCCGGGGGGCCCAGUUGUGCAGGAGAGGGGCAGGCAAAUGGGAGGGCCUUCGUCUUGGCGGCCAUGGCCAGAGGUGGGGGGUUGGGGGGUCGGGGGAUGGAGGCCUCAGUCCCUGCCCUCACCAGGUGGCAGGGAGCAGGAGGCAGGCUGACCCACUUAGAGACUGGCUCCUUUCAAAGCAGCGUGGUUGUGACGGGGUGCAGUAAGUGGGUCAGCCUGCAUAUAUCCAUGGGUCUUAAACUCUUCAACACUUGGCUGUUAAACAUCUAGAUCCUGCUUUCAUUAGCUUGUAAGCUGUGGCCAUGGGGACCUGCCUAGUCUUCUGAAGCAGCAAGUGUGUCCAGAGGCUAACAAACAGCAGGUGCCUCAAAUAAAUAGGAUUUUAAUACUCGAUGUAAAUGUGGGUGCAAAUAAAUACAUGAAAUGAAA